CCCAGAGGGCUGUGGGGCUGGGGCGCAGGGCGGGCCGAGAGGUGGCCAGGGUCGCUGGGGGUUCGUCCAGGGCAGCUCAAGGUCAAAGGUCACAGGGGGAGACUGGACACUCGUCAUAUAACCAUCAUACCGUCACUCAUACGCAGUCCCAGGGGGCUAGAGGAGACUUCAACCACAUACGCUCUCCUAGAGGUUUUGAGCGGCGGGUCCCUAAACACACCGCCCAUACGGAGGGAGCAGAGGGGGACGGCGGCUCUCAACAUCCCCCCCGGUCAGGAAACAUCCCUUCCCUGGUUCCCAGGCCUCCCUCCACUCCUCUGGUCAAACAAGUGGGCAAAGAGUACACCCUCAAGUGCAGGUUCUGUGAGGCAGUGUUCCAUGGAUCUCAGUCAGUACAGGAGGACUGGAUCAGACACCUGCAGAAACACAUCCUGGACCUCCGCUUCAACAAGGCCUGUCCUCCCCCUGACCCAGAACGGCCCCUGGUCCCGGGCAUCGAACCCUCAGCCACCACCACCACCCCGGUCCUUCUGGCACCACUGGUGGUUUAAAUGGUUCACUACUAUGGCUACAGUCACUGCAUUUCCCUUAUUACCACUUAGUUGGAUCGUCUUAUCUGUUGUUCAUCUGUUUGUUUUCCUCAAAGGACUGUUGAACUCAGUCUACACUGUGGUAAAAACACCUAAUAAGGUGUGUGUGUGUGUGUGUGUGUGUGUGUGUGUGUGUGUGUGUGUGUGUGUGUGUGUGUGUGUGUGUGUGUGUGUGUGUGUGUGUGUGUGUGUGUGUGUGUGUGUGUGUGUGUGUGUGUGUGUGUGUGUGUGUGUGUGUGUGUGUGUGUGGGAGUGAUGCGUUCAUUUAUUUAUUCAGCGUUAAAGGAAUGACUUGGUUUGAAUGAUAACUGCACAAAGUGGAUAUACUGUAGCACUAGUCUUGUCCACCAGCUGUGUCUCUCUCUAGCUGUUAGCCUGGGGAUAAGGUUAGUGUAGCACAGACAGUUAGCCUGGGGAUAAGGUUAGUGUAGCACAGACAUAUCUGUACCAGCCUCAUAACAACUCUAGAGGGCCUACUUGGGCCAGUUGAAGAAGUCUACUUUCAGUAACUACUCUUGCUGGGUUAACUUAGACAUGGAGUCAAACAAACAUUCAUUCACCAUGACACAUUCAUACCACUUAGUAGUCUAGCAAUGGUUACAUUCCAUGUCUUUAUUGGGAUGUUUAUUGCACAUUGCUUUCAUAGAAACCUAAAUUCAUAGUAGUCUGACAUUGGAUGGAAUGGGUUUCCAUAGACUGUAGUCAGUGAUGUCACUGAAGAAGUAAGGCAAAGCCUGUUCGAGCAUUAAAUACAUCCCCCCUUGUUUCAACUGUUCCAAAGCAGUGUGGCAUUAUAGGUUGCAUUGCAGAAUAGCAGGGAAGGAAGCAUGUUCACUUUUGAAUUAUGGUCUGAAAUGUCCCUAUUGUACAGGAAUUUGUAUUAGAUUUUUUUAAUGAAUGAUGUUUUUAAAUGUAGAACUGUUUUCUGAAGUAAAGAAAUAUAAGACAAGGUU
Long non-coding RNA from Oncorhynchus gorbuscha (pink salmon), 1543 nucleotides. RefSeq lists it as uncharacterized. Lineage: Eukaryota; Metazoa; Chordata; Actinopteri; Salmoniformes; Salmonidae. The transcript has 3 exons. The record is from RefSeq and is a predicted model, not a curated record.